GCGUGAAUGGGGUAGUGGUAACCUUAAUCGUUGCCAUCAAGCCAGAUCGAUUAGCCAGGGGUUCGAUUCCCCUUUCACGCA
Molecule: transfer RNA, 81 nt
Filed under: Ceratobasidium sp. AG-Ba
Lineage: Eukaryota; Fungi; Basidiomycota; Agaricomycetes; Cantharellales; Ceratobasidiaceae
Description: tRNA-Gly
Rfam family: tRNA
About the family: Transfer RNA (tRNA) molecules are approximately 80 nucleotides in length.
Source: RNAcentral